CCCACGCCCACCAGUGCCAGGCAGCUCUCCCGCCCUCUUCACUGGCUGAUGCCAGGCAGGGCCCACCCACAUUCCUGCUGUGGGAGCAGCCGCUCCCAGCCAGCCCAGCCUCAUUUGUUUCCCUGGACAGACCCGAGAGGCUGUGACCCUCCACCGCCCAGCACCCAGCGGAGGAAGCCGAGGCAGAGGAGCCCAGGCCCUUCCUGCCCAAGCGCAGACCCCAAGGUGGCGGCCCCACGGACCAUGGCUGGAGAGCCCCGCGCCCACAGAGGCCUCCUGCUCCUGCUGCUCAGCCUGGGGUGGGCGCCGCCUCCGGAGGCCGCGGACGCAG
Molecule: long non-coding RNA, 331 nt
Organism: Talpa occidentalis (Iberian mole)
Lineage: Eukaryota; Metazoa; Chordata; Mammalia; Eulipotyphla; Talpidae
Exons: 3
Source: RefSeq, a predicted model, not a curated record